Molecule: long non-coding RNA, 458 nt
Filed under: Solanum tuberosum (potato)
Lineage: Eukaryota; Viridiplantae; Streptophyta; Magnoliopsida; Solanales; Solanaceae
Description: long non-coding RNA (STUB_LNC011350)
Source: RNAcentral
AGAAUAUAAAACUUCAUCAUUAAACUAGAAACAAGUUGUAUAAAGAUUGAAUCUUUAUUGUUAGUAUUCUAAAUACUAAGUGGUUUGUCUAGUUGUAACAAAAAGGGGGGGAAAAACACUAGUGACAUAAAAUUAGUGAUUUUUGUGCCUGCAAUGGGUGUUUAUAUGGAUUAAAUCUCCAAAAGAAGGCUUCGUGUUGCCAAUAUGUAUUUUGAUGGUAUACAAUAUGAAAGCAUGGAAAAAAAAUAUGUGGAAAAUAAUUUCAAAUACUUGAAAAAUAUUUUUGAGAACAUAUUUAAAAUGUGGGGGAUUCUUUACUUGUGAUAAAGACAAAAUUAGACUUACUAUCUAAUUUAAAUUUGAAAGUACAAGAUAUGAAAUUUAAUGACAUUCUUGUAUUAUGUUAGACCCACAAAAUUCUUGGAGUAUAUUUGAUAUUGUGGUCGUUGAGUCUCUCU